This 28-nucleotide non-coding RNA is filed under the name Homo sapiens (human). Lineage: Eukaryota; Metazoa; Chordata; Mammalia; Primates; Hominidae. The record is from RNAcentral.
UGGUGUAAGAAAGGCCUCACUUUGAAUC